This 538-nucleotide unclassified non-coding RNA is filed under the name Candida albicans. Its description in RNAcentral is "sequence contains 18S rRNA gene, ITS1, 5.8S rRNA gene, ITS2, 28S rRNA gene". The stretch from base 184 to 337 matches the Rfam family "5.8S ribosomal RNA". The record is from RNAcentral. Lineage: Eukaryota; Fungi; Ascomycota; Pichiomycetes; Serinales; Debaryomycetaceae.
UCGUAACAAGGUUUCCGUAGGUGAACCUGCGGAAGGAUCAUUACUGAUUUGCUUAAUUGCACCACAUGUGUUUUUCUUUGAAACAAACUUGCUUUGGCGGUGGGCCCAGCCUGCCGCCAGAGGUCUAAACUUACAACCAAUUUUUUAUCAACUUGUCACACCAGAUUAUUACUUAAUAGUCAAAACUUUCAACAACGGAUCUCUUGGUUCUCGCAUCGAUGAAGAACGCAGCGAAAUGCGAUACGUAAUAUGAAUUGCAGAUAUUCGUGAAUCAUCGAAUCUUUGAACGCACAUUGCGCCCUCUGGUAUUCCGGAGGGCAUGCCUGUUUGAGCGUCGUUUCUCCCUCAAACCGCUGGGUUUGGUGUUGAGCAAUACGACUUGGGUUUGCUUGAAAGACGGUAGUGGUAAGGCGGGAUCGCUUUGACAAUGGCUUAGGUCUAACCAAAAACAUUGCUUGCGGCGGUAACGUCCACCACGUAUAUCUUCAAACUUUGACCUCAAAUCAGGUAGGACUACCCGCUGAACUUAAGCAUAUCA